Molecule: ribosomal RNA, 495 nt
Filed under: uncultured bacterium
Lineage: Bacteria
Description: partial 16S ribosomal RNA
Rfam family: Bacterial small subunit ribosomal RNA
Source: RNAcentral
GACGAACGCUGGCGGCGUGCCUAAUACAUGCAAGUAGAACGCUGAAGGAGGAGCUUGCUCUUCUGGAUGAGUUGCGAACGGGUGAGUAACGCGUAGGUAACCUGCCUGGUAGCGGGGGAUAACUAUUGGAAACGAUAGCUAAUACCGCAUAACAGUAGAUGUUGCAUGACAUUUACUUAAAAGGUGCAAUUGCAUCACUACCAGAUGGACCUGCGUUGUAUUAGCUAGUUGGUGGGGUAACGGCUCACCAAGGCGACGAUACAUAGCCGACCUGAGAGGGUGAUCGGCCACACUGGGACGGAGACACGGCCCAGACUCCUACGGGAGGCAGCAGUAGGGAAUCUUCGGCAAUGGACGGAAGUCUGACCGAGCAACGCCGCGUGAGUGAAGAAGGUUUUCGGAUCGUAAAGCUCUGUUGUAAGAGAAGAACGAGUGUGAGAGUGGAAAGUUCACACUGUGACGGUAUCUUACCAGAAAGGGACGGCUAACUACGUG